UACGUAGGGUGCGAGCGUUGUCCGGAAUUAUUGGGCGUAAAGAGCUCGUAGGCGGUAUGUCGCGUCUGCUGUGAAAGACCGGGGCUUAACUUCGGUUUUGCAGUGGAUACGGGCAUGCUUGAGGUAGGUAGGGGAGACUGGAAUUCCUGGUGUAGCGGUGAAAUGCGCAGAUAUCGGGAGGAACACCGAUGGCGAAGGCAGGUCUCUGGGCCACUACUGACGCUGAGAAGCGAAAGCAUGGGGAGCGAACAGGAUUAGAUACCCCU
This 266-nucleotide ribosomal RNA is filed under the name uncultured prokaryote. RNAcentral describes it as "partial 16S ribosomal RNA". It matches the Rfam family "Bacterial small subunit ribosomal RNA", at positions 524 to 788 of the family's 1533-position model. The record is from RNAcentral.